CGACUCAUCACAUCCUGGGGUUGAAGAAGGUCCCAAGGGUUCGGUUGUUCGCCGAUUCAAGUGGUACGCCCGUAGG
Non-coding RNA from Helianthus annuus (common sunflower), 76 nucleotides. The record is from Rfam. Lineage: Eukaryota; Viridiplantae; Streptophyta; Magnoliopsida; Asterales; Asteraceae.